Molecule: unclassified non-coding RNA, 428 nt
Filed under: Hevea brasiliensis (rubber tree)
Lineage: Eukaryota; Viridiplantae; Streptophyta; Magnoliopsida; Malpighiales; Euphorbiaceae
Source: RNAcentral
CAAAAACAAGCUGCUGCAGUCAUUACUGGAAAGAGAGACAUUAAAGUGAAAGCCUUGGAGGCUGCUGAGGCUGCAAAGCGUCUUGCUGAAAAGAAGGAGAAUGAACGGAAGAUGAGGAAGGAAGCCAUGAAGAUUGAGCGAGCAAGGAUGGAAGAACAAAAUUUAAGGCAGUUGGAGCUAGAGAAAAAAAAGAAAGAAGAACAGAAGAAAAAAGAGGCUGAUAUGGCAGCAAAGAAAAGAAAAAGGGAAGAAGAAGAAAGGAAGGAGAGAGAAAGAAAAAGAAAGCGUGUUGAGGACGGAAAGAGACACCAGCUGGAGCANNNNNNNNNNUGUUGAAAGUACAAAAAGAAGAUGAAAGAGCACAUGAGAGGAAGGAAUCUAAGGACAGAUUAGGAAUACAUGAGCAGAUUGAAAAAACAGAGGGAGGC